AUAGAUACCUGGUAGUCCACGCCGUAAACGAUGAGUGCUAAGUGUUAGAGGGUUUCCGCCCUUUAGUGCUGCAGCUAACGCAUUAAGCACUCCGCCUGGGGAGUACGGUCGCAAGACUGAAACUCAAAGGAAUUGACGGGGGGCCCGCACAAGCGGUGGAGCAUGUGGUUUAAUUCGAAGCAACGCGAAGAACCUUACCAGGUCUUGACAUCCUCUGACAACUCUAGAGAUAGAGCGUUCCCCCUUCGGGGGACAGAGUGACAGGUGGUGCAUGGUUGUCGUCAGCUCGUGUCGUGAGAUGUUGGGUUAAGUCCCGCAACGAGCGCAACCCUUGACCUUAGUUGCCAGCAUUUAGUUGGGCACUCUAAGGUGACUGCCGGUGACAAACCGGAGGAAGGUGGGGAUGACGUCAAAUCAUCAUGCCCCUUAUGACCUGGGCUACACACGUGCUACAAUGGAUGGUACAAAGGGCUGCAAGACCGCGAGGUCAAGCCAAUCCCAUAAAACCAUUCUCAGUUCGGAUUGUAGG
RNAcentral lists this ribosomal RNA (529 nucleotides) under uncultured bacterium. RNAcentral describes it as "bacterial SSU rRNA". It matches the Rfam family "Bacterial small subunit ribosomal RNA", at positions 778 to 1304 of the family's 1533-position model. The record is from RNAcentral.